This 588-nucleotide ribosomal RNA is filed under the name uncultured bacterium. RNAcentral's name for it is "bacterial SSU rRNA". It matches the Rfam family "Bacterial small subunit ribosomal RNA", at positions 338 to 916 of the family's 1533-position model. The record is from RNAcentral.
CCUACGGGAGGCAGCAGUAGGGAACCUUCCACAAUGGGCGAAAGCCUGAUGGAGCAACGCCGCGUGAGUGAUGAAGGCCUUCGGGUUGUAAAACUCUGUCAUUCGGGACGAACCGGAGUCUGAGGAAAUGCAGACUCUCUGACGGUACCGGAGGAGGAAGCCCCGGCUAACUACGUGCCAGCAGCCGCGGUAAUACGUAGGGGGCAAGCGUUGUCCGGAUUCACUGGGCGUAAAGCGCGCGCAGGCGGUGAUGUAAGUCUGAGGUGAAAACCCGAAGCUCAACUUCGGGACUGCCUUGGAUACUGCGUCACUUGAGGAUAGGAGAGGCAAGGGGAAUUCCACGUGUAGCGGUGAAAUGCGUAGAGAUGUGGAGGAACACCUGUGGCGAAGGCGCCUUGCUGGCCUAUUUCUGACGCUGAGGCGCGAAAGCGUGGGGAGCAAACAGGAUUAGAUACCCUGGUAGUCCACGCUGUAAACGAUGAGUGCUAGGUGUAGGUGGGCUCAUACCCCAUCUGUGCCGAAGCUAACGCAUUAAGCACUCCGCCUGGGGAGUACGGUCGCAAGACUGAAACUCAAAUGAAUUGACGG